CCUACGGGUGGCAGCAGUGGGGAAUAUUGGACAAUGGGCGAAAGCCUGAUCCAGCCAUGCCGCGUGUGUGAAGAAGGCCUUCGGGUUGUAAAGCACUUUCAGUGGGGAAGAAAGCCUUGGGGCUAAUACCCUCGAGGAAGGACAUCACCCACAGAAGAAGCACCGGCUAACUCCGUGCCAGCAGCCGCGGUAAUACGGAGGGUGCGAGCGUUAAUCGGAAUUACUGGGCGUAAAGCGCGCGUAGGCGGUCUGAUAAGCCGGUUGUGAAAGCCCCGGGCUCAACCUGGGAACGGCAUCCGGAACUGUCAGGCUAGGGUGCAGGAGAGGUAGGUAGAAUUCCCGGUGUAGCGGUGAAAUGCGUAGAGAUCGGGAGGAAUACCAGUGGCGAAGGCGGCCUUCUGGACUGACACUGACGCUGAGGUGCGAAAGCGUGGGUAGCAAACAGGAUUAAUACCCGAGUAGUC
This 464-nucleotide ribosomal RNA is filed under the name Vreelandella stevensii. RNAcentral describes it as "partial 16S ribosomal RNA". It matches the Rfam family "Bacterial small subunit ribosomal RNA", at positions 338 to 795 of the family's 1533-position model. The record is from RNAcentral. Lineage: Bacteria; Pseudomonadati; Pseudomonadota; Gammaproteobacteria; Oceanospirillales; Halomonadaceae.